This 492-nucleotide ribosomal RNA is filed under the name uncultured bacterium. RNAcentral describes it as "partial 16S ribosomal RNA". It matches the Rfam family "Bacterial small subunit ribosomal RNA", at positions 29 to 507 of the family's 1533-position model. The record is from RNAcentral.
AGUGAACGCUGGCGGUAGGCCUAACACAUGCAAGUCGAACGGCAGCACAGUAAGAGCUUGCUCUUACGGGUGGCGAGUGGCGGACGGGUGAGGAAUACAUCGGAAUCUACUUUUUCGUGGGGGAUAACGUAGGGAAACUUACGCUAAUACCGCAUACGACCUACGGGUGAAAGCAGGGGAUCUUCGGACCUUGCGCGAUUGAAUGAGCCGAUGUCGGAUUAGCUAGUUGGCGGGGUAAAGGCCCACCAAGGCGACGAUCCGUAGCUGGUCUGAGAGGAUGAUCCGCCACACUGGAACUGAGACACGGUCCAGACUCCUACGGGAGGCAGCAGUGGGGAAUAUUGGACAAUGGGCGCAAGCCUGAUCCAGCCAUACCGCGUGGGGGAAGAAGGCCUUCGGGUUGUAAAACCCUUUUUUUUGGAAAGAAAAGCAGCAGGUUAAAACCCCCCUGUUUUGACGGUACCCAAAGAAAAAGCACCGGCUAACUUCGUG